RNAcentral lists this ribosomal RNA (1015 nucleotides) under fungal sp. HSS6 LX-2016. Its description in RNAcentral is "SSU rRNA". It matches the Rfam family "Eukaryotic small subunit ribosomal RNA", at positions 83 to 1106 of the family's 1831-position model. Lineage: Eukaryota; Fungi. The record is from RNAcentral.
GAAACUGCGAAUGGCUCAUUAAAUCAGUUAUCGUUUAUUUGACAGUACCUUACUACUUGGAUAACCGUGGUAAUUCUAGAGCUAAUACAUGCUGAAAACCCCGACUUCGGGAGGGGUGUAUUUAUUAGAUAAAAAACCAAUGCCCUUCGGGGCUCCUUGGUGAUUCAUGAUAACUUAACGGAUCGCAUGGCCUUGCGCCGGCGACGGUUCAUUCAAAUUUCUGCCCUAUCAACUUUCGAUGGUAAGGUAUUGGCUUACCAUGGUUUCAACGGGUAACGGGGAAUUAGGGUUCGGUUCCGGAGAGGGAGCCUGAGAAACGGCUACCACAUCCAAGGAAGGCAGCAGGCGCGCAAAUUACCCAAUCCCGACACGGGGAGGUAGUGACAAUAAAUACUGAUACAGGGCUCUUUUGGGUCUUGUAAUUGGAAUGAGUACAAUUUAAACCCCUUAACGAGGAACAAUUGGAGGGCAAGUCUGGUGCCAGCAGCCGCGGUAAUUCCAGCUCCAAUAGCGUAUAUUAAAGUUGUUGCAGUUAAAAAGCUCGUAGUUGAAUCUUGGGUCUGGCUGGCCGGUCCGCCUCACCGCGUGUACUGGUCCGGCCGGGCCUUUCCUUCUGGAGAGCCCCAUGCCCUUCACUGGGUGUGCGGGGGAACCAGGACUUUUACUUUGAAAAAAUUAGAGUGUUCAAAGCAGGCCUUUGCUCGAAUACGUUAGCAUGGAAUAAUAGAAUAGGACGUGCGGUUCUAUUUUGUUGGUUUCUAGAACCGCCGUAAUGAUUAAUAGGGAUAGUCGGGGGCAUCAGUAUUCAAUUGUCAGAGGUGAAAUUCUUAGAUUUAUUGAAGACUAACUACUGCGAAAGCAUUUGCCAAGGAUGUUUUCAUUAAUCAGUGAACGAAAGUUAGGGGAUCGAAGACGAUCAGAUACCGUCGUAGUCUUAACCGUAAACUAUGCCGACUAGGGAUCGGGCGGUGUUUCUAUCUUGACCCGCUCGGCACCUUACGAGAAAUCAAAGUUU